RNAcentral lists this unclassified non-coding RNA (200 nucleotides) under uncultured fungus. RNAcentral's name for it is "partial contains 18S rRNA, ITS1, 5.8S rRNA, ITS2 and 28S rRNA". The record is from RNAcentral. Lineage: Eukaryota; Fungi.
AAGGAUCAUUACAGAGUUCAUGCCCUUACGGGUAGAUCUCCCACCCUUGAAUAUUUUAUACCUUUGUUGCUUUGGCGGGCCGCUUCAGCUACCGGCUUCGGCUGGUGAGUGCCCGCCAGAGGACCCCAAACUCUGAAUUAUAGUGUUGUCCGAGUACUAUCAAAUAGUUAAAACUUUCAACAACGGAUCUCUUGGUUCUG